This 244-nucleotide ribosomal RNA is filed under the name uncultured bacterium. RNAcentral describes it as "partial 16S ribosomal RNA". It matches the Rfam family "Bacterial small subunit ribosomal RNA", at positions 110 to 339 of the family's 1533-position model. The record is from RNAcentral.
GUAACACGUAGGUGAUCUACCUUUUAGUGGGGAAUAACUCGGGGAAACUCGGGCUAAUACCGCAUAAGUAUAACAAUCUUGAAAGUAGUUAUAGAAAGAGGGCCAAUCCUUGGAAGCUCUCGCUGAAAGAUGAGCCUGCGCGACAUUAGCUUGUUGGUGGGGUAAUGGCCUACCAAGGCGACGAUGUCUAGCCGGUCUGAGAGGAUGAUCGGCCACACUGGAACUGAGACACGGUCCAGACUCC